AACUAGAGAUGGCUGAAGAGAGAAUUAAUCAGUUUGGUAAGGUACAGCUGAGAAAAUCAGAAGGGAUAGCACAUGCAGAUAGAGAGAUGGAAAAUCUUGAAGAAGUUAAUAGGCAUCAGGUCAGGAUAAGAUGGGCCAACUUCUACUCCCAUUCAGUAGAAGUUCUUAGCAACAGAAACAGAGAAUGCAGACCACAAGGCUCAGGGCUGCACAGGUGUAUGGAGUCACAGGUGUAUGGAUGCACAGGUGAUGGAUGCACAGGUGUGUCGAUGCACAGGUCUAUGGAGGGACAGGUAUAUGGAGUCACAGGUCUAUGGAGUCACAGGUGUAUGGAGGCACAGGUGUAUGGAGUCACAGGCAUACGAAUGCACAGGUGUAUUAUUGCACCGGUGUCUGGAGACACAAGUGUAUGGAUGCACAGGUUUCAUGACUAGUACUGAUAAGAGUUUUCUUUGUAUUUAAAGAAACCAAGUGAUGUCCUUCAGGGCACAGGCAGCAUGCGUUAACUGCUCUAGAUCAUCAUUUUCCCUGAGCCCCGUCCAGCGCAGAGCUCUGAGGGGUGUCCUCAGUGCCCAUAGCACACAAGGGGGUGGUGCUCCCCAAGCUGCUGCCACCCCUGGGUCCCUAAUCUGCCUCCGUGUCCCACCACUGCCUGGAAGGUGGUCCAAUUCCCCAGUAGACCCUGGGUUAGCACAACCUGGAUGCAGAGGUGGAGACAUUCCAAGUGGAGAUAUUCCCCGGAAACAAGGAGGGUGCCUCCCAGAUCCCCACCUGUGGGAUCUGCACAAAGGGCUUGGUCUGGGGUCAGAGCCAGCCACUGGUCUGGCACCUGAUGCCACUAGGUACUCAUGUUC
Molecule: long non-coding RNA, 854 nt
Filed under: Papio anubis (olive baboon)
Lineage: Eukaryota; Metazoa; Chordata; Mammalia; Primates; Cercopithecidae
Description: lncRNA (ENSPANG00000050318.1)
Source: RNAcentral